Molecule: ribosomal RNA, 286 nt
Filed under: Salmonella enterica
Lineage: Bacteria; Pseudomonadati; Pseudomonadota; Gammaproteobacteria; Enterobacterales; Enterobacteriaceae
Also listed under: 1 other name
Description: partial 16S ribosomal RNA
Rfam family: Bacterial small subunit ribosomal RNA
Source: RNAcentral
CGCCUGGGGAGUACGGCCGCAAGGUUAAAACUCAAAUGAAUUGACGGGGGCCCGCACAAGCGGUGGAGCAUGUGGUUUAAUUCGAUGCAACGCGAAGAACCUUACCUGGUCUUGACAUCCACGGAAGUUUUCAGAGAUGAGAAUGUGCCUUCGGGAACCGUGAGACAGGUGCUGCAUGGCUGUCGUCAGCUCGUGUUGUGAAAUGUUGGGUUAAGUCCCGCAACGAGCGCAACCCUUAUCCUUUGUUGCCAGCGAUUAGGUCGGGAACUCAAAGGAGACUGCCAGU